Molecule: ribosomal RNA, 1101 nt
Filed under: uncultured bacterium
Lineage: Bacteria
Description: bacterial SSU rRNA
Rfam family: Bacterial small subunit ribosomal RNA
Source: RNAcentral
AGUGAGGAAUAUUGCGCAAUGGACGAAAGUCUGACGCAGCAACGCCGCGUGGGCGAUGAAGGCCUUCGGGUCGUAAAGCCCUUUUCUGAGGGAAGAGAAAGGACGGUACCUCAGGAAUAAGUCUCGGCUAACUACGUGCCAGCAGCCGCGGUAAAACGUAGGAGGCGAGCGUUAUCCGGAUUUAUUGGGCGUAAAGCGCAUGCAGGUGGUUUCGUUAGUCGGAUGUGAAAGCCUCUGGCUCAACUGGAGGAGGUCGUUCGAUACUGCGAAACUAGAGGUUGGGAGAGGAAAGCGGAAUUCCCGGUGUAGUGGUGGAAUGCGUAGAUAUCGGGAGGAACACCAGUGGCGAAGGCGGCUUUCUGGCCCACACCUGACACUAAGAUGCGAAAGCGUGGGGAGCAAACGGGAUUAGAUACCCCGGUAGUCCACGCUGUAAACGAUGGGUACUGGGUAUUGGUGGUAUUGACCCCAUCAGUGCCGAAGCUAACGCGUUAAGUACCCCGCCUGGGGACUACGACCGCAAGGUUAAAACUCAAAGGAAUUGACGGGGCCCCGCACAAGCAGCGGAGCGUGUGGUUUAAUUCGACGCAACACGAAGAACCUUACCUGGGCUUGACAUGUUGGUAGUAGUGAAGCGAAAGUGGAACGAUCCUUCGGGAAGCCAUCACAGGUGCUGCAUGGCUGUCGUCAGCUCGUGCCGUGAGGUGUUGGGUUAAGUCCCGCAACGAGCGCAACCCUCGCUGUUAGUUACAAGUGUCUAACAGGACUGCCGGUAUCAAACCGGAGGAAGGUGGGGAUGACGUCAAGUCAGCAUGGCCCUUAUGUCCAGGGCUACACACACGCUACAAUGGUCGGUACAGAGGGUCGCCAAACCGCGAGGUGGAGCUAAUCUCACAAAACCGGCCUCAGUUCGGAUUGCAGGCUGCAACCCGCCUGCAUGAAGCUGGAGUUGCUAGUAAACGCCGGUCAGUUAUACGGCGUUGAAUAUGUUCCCGGGGCUUGUACACACCGCCCGUCACGUCAUGGGAGUCGGUAACACCUGAAGCCGGUGGGCUAACCGCAAGGAGGCAGCCGUCGAAGGUGGGACUGGUGACUGGGCCG